AUUGAACGCUGGCGGCAGGCCUAACACAUGCAAGUCGAACGGUAACAGGAAGCAGCUUGCUGCUUCGCUGACGAGUGGCGGACGGGUGAGUAAUGUCUGGGAAACUGCCUGAUGGAGGGGGAUAACUACUGGAAACGGUAGCUAAUACCGCAUAACGUCGCAAGACCAAAGAGGGGGACCUUAGGGCCUCUUGCCAUCGGAUGUGCCCAGAUGGGAUUGGCUAGUAGGUGGGGUAACGGCUCACCUAGGCGACGAUCCCUAGCUGGUCUGAGAGGAUGACCAGCCACACUGGAACUGAGACACGGUCCAGACUCCUACGGGAGGCAGCAGUGGGGAAUAUUGCACAAUGGGCGCAAGCCUGAUGCAGCCAUGCCGCGUGUAUGAAGAAGGCCUUCGGGUUGUAAAGUACUUUCAGCGGGGAGGAAGGGAGUAAAGUUAAUACCUUUGCUCAUUGACGCUACCCGCAGAAGAAGCACCGGCUAACUCCGUG
RNAcentral lists this ribosomal RNA (490 nucleotides) under uncultured bacterium. RNAcentral describes it as "partial 16S ribosomal RNA". It matches the Rfam family "Bacterial small subunit ribosomal RNA", at positions 30 to 507 of the family's 1533-position model. The record is from RNAcentral.